CGCAUGCGUGUUAGACCUGUCAAGAUGGCGGCGUCCGUGAGACAGUGGGCUCGCAGGGUGAUCCGUCUUUCUCACACUAAUAUUACUGGCGCCUCUGGUGGACUUUCGGUUCGGUUCGAUCGCUGCUCAGCCGGAUCGUAUUGCCGUUGUUUCGGCGAUGCAGCGGAAGGCAAACAGACACAUUUUGGCUUCGAAACAGUGCCAGAAGCCGAGAAAGCGAAGCGAGUGUAUAAAGUGUUUGAGAAUGUGGCUCAGAAGUAUGAUGUUAUGAAUGAUGCCAUGAGUCUGGGGAUCCAUCGGUUGUGGAAGGAUAAGCUGCUGCACGUUAUGUGCCCGCAGCCUGGUGCCCGACUCCUGGAUGUGGCAGGUGGAACAGGUGACAUUGCCUUCCGAUUCUUGGAGUAUAUUCGUUUUCAGCAAGAGCGUCAGAGACGCAGGGAAACACGUGCCGUGGAGACACCGUCGUGGCAGGAGCUUUCCACUAACUACUCGACAGAGGACGAGGAUGGGCCCCGGGAAUCAAAGGCUGUGGUCUGUGACAUUAACAAGGAGAUGCUGAAAGUGGGCAAACAGAAAGCUGACAGCAUGGGACUUGUCAGCGGUCUGUCCUGGGUGGUGGGGGAUGCAGAGGAGCUGCCGUUUGAUGAUGAGCAGUUUGAUAUCUACACCAUCGCCUUCGGCAUCCGCAACGUCACUCGCAUAGAUCAGGCUCUCCAAGAGGCUCGCCGUGUCCUGAAACCUGGUGGAAGGUUUAUGUGCUUAGAGUUCAGCAAAGUGACAAAUCCUGUCCUUGCAAGUCUCUACGAUGCAUACAGUUUCCAGAUGAUUCCCAUUUUGGGAGAGGUGAUAGCUGGAGACUGGAAAUCCUACCAGUACCUGGUGGAGAGCAUCCGCAAGUUCCCAGACCAGGAGCGGUUUAAAGAAAUGAUUGAGGACGCAGGGUUCUACUGUGUGCAGUACCACAACCUCACCGGUGGCGUGGUGGCGCUUCACUCCGGCUUCAAGCUGUGACGAACACUUCAAGUAACUCCUAUAAAAAGCCAAAGACUCAACCUACGGCAGAAAGGCCUGAAAUGCCAACUGUCUGCAGACUUCAGAGCUCUCAUCUCUACAGAUGCCACUUCAGUGACCAAAAAUCAGAGCCUGGAUGGCCAUUCUGUUCAUGGAGCUCUGAGGUGGGGAAGGAGGGUGGGACAGAGAACAUUGCACGCGUCAGGAGCAGCGACAGCAGUAAACAAAGCUAAAGUAAAACAUCACGUUGACAGAACCGUCAGAAGAGUCGAGCCAAGUCACUGAUGAUGCUUUUAGGAAAACGUCCAGCGAAGCGUCUUUACGUCAGCGCUGGAAAGUGACUAACUGAUGUUAAUGUGACAGGUUUGAUGUUUCGGUGGUUUGAGACAUACAUCACUCUGCAGUGUCGAACCGAUGCGUUAGCAGCUGCAUCUGGCUCCAAUUCUCUGUUCUCUUUUUCAUCUCUAAUUUAAUUCAAAGUUAUUAAAAACCGUGACCGAUGAGUUGACACAUAAAGAUCCACUUACUGGGAUUAAGCGUAAUGACUCACAUGUGUACCAGCCUUUAUGAUUUACGGGAGUCGCAGCCUGGAACGCUAGAGCAUCGCUCAUGCACAGGGCGCAGUUAUUUCUGCUCGAGCUGAACUGAACCAGGGUGUUUCUUCCUUUAAGCUGCCUCAGAACUGGAUAAUUGCAGACUUUUUAAGGAAAUGUGGAUAUUCUCAUCAGAGUUGACAGAAAUAUGAAAUGUGGAGACUUGAAAAAUCUGUAUUUUCACUGUUAUUCACUGUAAUUAACUGUAGUCUUGUGUGGCCAAACCCUUGAGGAAUCCUUCACUAAAACUAACAGUCAUUCUCUGAUGGUGGGGAGAUGUGACAUUUCAUCACAGUUUUAUUUUUAAUGGGUAGAAAAUGUUUUUCCUCUGCAAUAUAAUGAUAUUUAUUGCAGGAGCAGUUCAUUCAUUUCACCUUCUAUGACGUGAAGUUGUUAUUUGUCACUGGCACCGACUUAAUGAAGGCUAAUCCACUGCUGUGACACACGCCCAUUACACUCCCACGCACGCGGCGACACCACACGCAUGCUCCACGCAGGUGUGAGAGAGGAUUACACCUGUCUCAACAGCCGCCGCCGCGGGUUCCAUCUCGGCGCUCGGCUCCGGCGGCUGACCUCUCAUCUGCCUUAAUGACAUGCUAAUCCCCCAUUCAUGCAGAUGACGUAGGGCUCAACGGAGCUUUCUGUGGACACGCGAGAGGAGCCGACCGGCGCCGCUGCCCGAGAACCCGCGUCAGCUCGCUGGAAAACAAGGCGCGACCUUGCGGAUUUGGGCGUGUGCGGUGCCAGAAGCAUGCAGACGCUUGUCGCGGUGUGACUCAAGGCUGGAUCGUGAACAAAGUUUCGUCCACACUUGUGCUUUCAUUCACCGACCUGGCUCCUGCGCUGCUUGAGCUUGAUCUUGAUGAGCAGGAUGAGGCAAACCAGCGACACGACCACGAAGAAAGCCAGGAAGAUGCCCAUGUCGAAGUAUUCCGUGGGCUGCUGUGGGAAAGGAGCGAGAGGGAAACAAGACCUUGUCAAAUAAUCUUCACAGAAUUCCUGUCUUGUUGUUAGAACAGAGGUUAUUUUACCAUUUUCAUUUGUUUCCACUUGAAAUAUAUGAAAUAUGAAUAAAUGCAAAAGUCAAUUCGAUGUCAUUCUGAAUGAAGCUGAAACUAUUAAUCAAUUAAACCUCAAAGUUAUUUGCCAAAUAUUCAAA
Molecule: RNA transcript, 2763 nt
Organism: Betta splendens (Siamese fighting fish)
Lineage: Eukaryota; Metazoa; Chordata; Actinopteri; Anabantiformes; Osphronemidae
Gene: coq5
Gene name: coenzyme Q5, methyltransferase
Exons: 8
Source: RefSeq, a predicted model, not a curated record